RNAcentral lists this ribosomal RNA (1441 nucleotides) under uncultured organism. RNAcentral describes it as "16S ribosomal RNA". It matches the Rfam family "Bacterial small subunit ribosomal RNA". The record is from RNAcentral.
CGAACGCUGGCGGCGUGCUUAACACAUGCAAGUCGAACGGAAAGGCCCUGCUUUUGUGGGGUGCUCGAGUGGCGAACGGGUGAGUAACACGUGAGUAACCUGCCCUUGACUUUGGGAUAACUUCAGGAAACUGGGGCUAAUACCGGAUAGGAGCUCCUGCUGCAUGGUGGGGGUUGGAAAGUUUCGGCGGUUGGGGAUGGACUCGCGGCUUAUCAGCUUGUUGGUGGGGUAGUGGCUUACCAAGGCUUUGACGGGUAGCCGGCCUGAGAGGGUGACCGGCCACAUUGGGACUGAGAUACGGCCCAGACUCCUACGGGAGGCAGCAGUGGGGAAUAUUGCACAAUGGGCGGAAGCCUGAUGCAGCAACGCCGCGUGCGGGAUGACGGCCUUCGGGUUGUAAACCGCUUUCGCCUGUGACGAAGCGUGAGUGACGGUAAUGGGUAAAGAAGCACCGGCUAACUACGUGCCAGCAGCCGCGGUGAUACGUAGGGUGCGAGCGUUGUCCGGAUUUAUUGGGCGUAAAGGGCUCGUAGGUGGUUGAUCGCGUCGGAAGUGUAAUCUUGGGGCUUAACCCUGAGCGUGCUUUCGAUACGGGUUGACUUGAGGAAGGUAGGGGAGAAUGGAAUUCCUGGUGGAGCGGUGGAAUGCGCAGAUAUCAGGAGGAACACCAGUGGCGAAGGCGGUUCUCUGGGCCUUUCCUGACCCUGAGGAGCGAAAGCGUGGGGGAGCGAACAGGCUUAGAUACCCUGGUAGUCCACGCUGUAAACGGUGGGUACUAGGUGUGGGGGUCCAUUCCACGGGUUCCGUGCCGUAGCUAACGCUUUAAGUACCCCGCCUGGGGAGUACGGCCGCAAGGCUAAAACUCAAAGGAAUUGACGGGGCCCCGCACAAGCGGCGGAGCAUGCGGAUUAAUUCGAUGCAACGCGUAGAACCUUACCUGGGUUUGACAUGGAUCGGGAGUGCUCAGAGAUGGGUGUGCCUCUUUUGGGGUCGGUUCACAGGUGGUGCAUGGCUGUCGUCAGCUCGUGUCGUGAGAUGUUGGGUUAAGUCCCGCAACGAGCGCAACCCUUGUUCACUGUUGCCAGCACGUUAUGGUGGGGACUCAGUGGAGACCGCCGGGGUCAACUCGGAGGAAGGUGGGGAUGACGUCAAGUCAUCAUGCCCCUUAUGUCCAGGGCUUCACGCAUGCUACAAUGGCUGGUACAGAGAGUGGCGAGCCUGUGAGGGUGAGCGAAUCUCGGAAAGCCGGUCUCAGUUCGGAUUGGGGUCUGCAACUCGACCCCAUGAAGUCGGAGUCGCUAGUAAUCGCAGAUCAGCAACGCUGCGGUGAAUACGUUCCCGGGGCUUGUACACACCGCCCGUCAAGUCAUGAAAGUUGGUAACACCCGAAGCCGGUGGCCUAACCGUUGUGGGGGAGCCGUCGAAGGUGGGACUGGUGAUU